UGGGGAAUAUUGCACAAUGGGCGCAAGCCUGAUGCAGCCAUGCCGCGUGUGUGAAGAAGGCCUUCGGGUUGUAAAGCACUUUCAGCGAGGAGGAAGGGUAGUGUGUUAAUAGCACAUUGCAUUGACGUUACUCGCAGAAGAAGCACCGGCUAACUCCGUGCCAGCAGCCGCGGUAAUACGGAGGGUGCAAGCGUUAAUCGGAAUUACUGGGCGUAAAGCGCACGCAGGCGGUUUGUUAAGUCAGAUGUGAAAUCCCCGCGCUUAACGUGGGAACUGCAUUUGAAACUGGCAAGCUAGAGUCUUGUAGAGGGGGGUAGAAUUCCAGGUGUAGCGGUGAAAUGCGUAGAGAUCUGGAGGAAUACCGGUGGCGGAGGCGGCCCCCUGGACAAAGACUGACGCUCAGGUGCGAAAGCGUGGGGAGCAAACA
This 427-nucleotide ribosomal RNA is filed under the name uncultured bacterium. RNAcentral's name for it is "partial 16S ribosomal RNA". It matches the Rfam family "Bacterial small subunit ribosomal RNA", at positions 355 to 774 of the family's 1533-position model. The record is from RNAcentral.